Molecule: long non-coding RNA, 1661 nt
Organism: Tachyglossus aculeatus (Australian echidna)
Lineage: Eukaryota; Metazoa; Chordata; Mammalia; Monotremata; Tachyglossidae
Exons: 8
Source: RefSeq, a predicted model, not a curated record
CAACCGACAGCAAAGAGGCUGUCAGCACAGAUCAAAGCAAACUAGAACCUUAAAGACUUCAUCCUCAUAAGGUAAUAGCGUAGUUUUGAUGUCAAUGGUAAUGUGGCACUAAUAUAUUAAUAACAAUAUAUUAGUAAUAAUAAAAAGAGGUAGACCAACAAACAGAGACAGGGUCAGGGGCGCUGAGUACUGUAACGGACUGAGUACCGGGACUUUGUUUUUGGGAACUGUGUCCUGCAACUUGAGGUUGAGCUUGUGGCAGCCUCAGCACUGUCGGAGCUGCUCAGGGUGCUGGAUGGGCCAUCUGUGGUGGGUCCACGUCUCUGGGCCUGGACGGGGGCAGUAGGCACAACAGGUCCUUGUCUGGGCCUCCCUCUUUCCACCGGCACGUCGCCGCGAACCCAUCUCUCUGCCUGUCCUGGGAUCGCCGUGCUUGUUAUCUGAUGAGCCUUCGGGAGCAUCCAAGGGGCCGCAACAGAGGAACCGACAGAGGGAGAACUGCCGGGGAAAUGAAGUGGAUGGAUACUCCCAGCCAGUUAAUGGUGACAUAGAAGGCAAGAUGACUCUGUAACUUCCCUGUGGCUUGGUUGCUUGUGAGAUCCGGUCCACGGCUUAUCAAAGGGGCCAGCGUCUCUCCAAGGCAGCACACCUGUGUCACGAGGAGCCGGCCAGCCCUCCCGUCCUAGUGCGAGGCAGGUACAUUGGCGCCAUCUUAUCUCUACUGAUCCCGGCCUCGCUUCUGGAUUAAAUAACUUCUGGCCGGAAUAACUUCUGUCUCUCUGUCCCCCCCGAGGAUCGCCUCCCGUCAGAGAUCCAGAGAAGACAUUAUUGCUGUCCAGAAGAGCUUCAGGCGAAGUGCUCAUCAUAGCAUCCCCAACAAGGAUUUCGAGAGCAGUGGAAAACCAGGGUGUGUUCACCAGCGAUAGUUCGCUAAAAAGAAAGAGGUUACUCCUGCCUCUUCAGAGAGAGGAAUCUUGCUGUGAUACGGCACCUUCAUCAAGCGAGUUGGCCAACAUGAUUCGAUGGAUGAGAAGGGAUCGAAAGGAAAAGAAUCUUUGUUGGUAGCUCCAGUGUAUCCCACUCCCCCAAGAUCGGUGUCUCUUUAGGGACACGGCUGUCCCCAGCAGACAUUCGGCAUGUGGGUGUUGUGAUACCAAGGGAAGGGCUGAUCCCUUCAGCUUCUCCUCACCCACCACAGACCGACCAGCCACUGAGCACUUGCUCUUCUUUCGUCUUGGUCUGGCUGGUGUAGUUCAGCAGACAGGAACCAUUCUGUCACCCUGGACCUCGUUAUUUGGAAGCCUCGGGUGCAGUGGACUGCAGAAGGGCUAGCCAUUAUUACCAGGCUCAUUUUUUGGACGGAAGAUAAGGGAGACAUUGAUUGACCAUCUUUACCAAGGUGUCACCACAAAUACGCAGAUGAGCUGUGCAUUGAGAGCUCAAGUUGUCAUGGCACAACAGCCUAGGACCUGACUGGCUUUCUGAAAUCUGCAUCUCUUCCAAAUGCUUAAUUAGGAGUAUGGCUGUCCCCGACUCCUGGUGGAGAAGACUGAGGGGGAUGGGCAGAGCUGGACUUACAGUUUGGUGCUCUGGGUCACAAUCAUGCUGCCUUUCUGGAAUUCAUUCAUUCAGCUGUAUUUAUUGAGCACCUGCUAUGUGCA